CCUACGGGAGGCAGCAGUGAGGAAUAUUGGUCAAUGGACGGAAGUCUGAACCAGCCAUGCCGCGUGCAGGAAGACGGCUCUAUGAGUUGUAAACUGCUUUUGUACAAGGGUAAACCUGAAUACGUGUAUUCAGCUGAAAGUACUGUACGAAUAAGGAUCGGCUAACUCCGUGCCAGCAGCCGCGGUAAUACGGAGGAUCCAAGCGUUAUCCGGAUUUAUUGGGUUUAAAGGGUGCGUAGGCGGAUUGAUAAGUUAGAGGUGAAAUUGCCGAGCUUAACUCGGGAACUGCCUCUAAUACUGUUGAUCUAGAGAGUAGAUGCGGUAGGCGGAAUGUAUGGUGUAGCGGUGAAAUGCUUAGAGAUCAUACAGAACACCGAUUGCGAAGGCAGCUUACCAAUCUAUAUCUGACGUUGAGGCACGAAAGCGUGGGGAGCAAACAGGAUUAGAUACCCUUGUAGUC
RNAcentral lists this ribosomal RNA (460 nucleotides) under uncultured bacterium. RNAcentral's name for it is "partial 16S ribosomal RNA". It matches the Rfam family "Bacterial small subunit ribosomal RNA", at positions 338 to 795 of the family's 1533-position model. The record is from RNAcentral.